CCCACGCCUCCGCCUCCGCUCGCCCUCGCCGCCGCCGCCGACUCCGCCUCCGCCUCCGCUCACCCUCGUGCCGUCAUGUCUUCUCCUCCUCUCCGCCCUCUCGGUGCUCCUACCAGGCGAGCGCGAGCGCGAGCAACUAGAGAGGAACGGCCACGGGCCUCUCCCUUAGUGGCGCUGGCGCCGGCGGCUCACUCUGCAGGCCCCCUGCCUCGUGGGGCUCAUGGCCCCCUCCCUCCGCGGUGCCGGCGCCGGUGGCUCCCUCCUCCGCGGGCUCCCUGCCUCAUGGGGCCUGGCGGCCUCGCGCACAGACGAAUCGUCGCCGGCGCCUCCUUCAACUAGGUCCUGCGCGCCAAGAAGGCCGUUGCCGCCUCCUGCAAGGACGAACCAGACGCCGUCGCCCAGGAUGAAGAACUACCAACCUAAAAAGGGAAAAUUGUGAAAAUUGCCAUGCUCAGGAUUUACAAUGUGGGGCAAAGAGAAUCACCAUGCUACAUCAAUGAAAAAAGCAGGGGCGGAGCCAGGGUAGCACUUGGCCCCAAGGCUGCUUUGGUGCUACAGUGUGAAAUAGGUUUUUUUUUUUGAAAAGGGGGAUUCCCCGGCCUACAGUGUGAAAAA
This is a long non-coding RNA of Triticum dicoccoides, 615 nucleotides long. RefSeq lists it as uncharacterized. The record is from RefSeq and is a predicted model, not a curated record. The transcript is spliced from 3 exons. Lineage: Eukaryota; Viridiplantae; Streptophyta; Magnoliopsida; Poales; Poaceae.